GCAGCUGAAUGACUGGGAGUGGUGGAGUCAGGAUCCACCCCUUCCUAGCCCUCAUUUAAGGGUUGACAGUGGAAGGAAGGGCAUCUCUUGAUGGAGGUCUUUGUAGAAUCUGUGCCCUUCUGAAGAGAUAUGCUGAAAUACUGUCUGCUGUGAAGAGAAAUUACCUGGAGAAGUUGCUGUCAGCAGGCUGAUGUCCUUCUUUUCUUAUACAAAGGAUUUCAACAACCUUGUUGCAUGGGACUGAAAAAGCAAAUAAGUUAGAAGAGAUCAAGGUCAGCUGAGAAACUUCUGAUGAAAUAUCUCUGUACAUGAGAAGCACUUGAAGGUAACCUUGGAAUGAGAAACGCAUCCAAGAUUCAACAACCUCAUUAAACUUGAUACUUGGACUUGAAGAGCACCAAUGUUUAAGCUCCUUGUUUGCGUCAGGCCUCUGGUGCUUCAGCUCUAGGAACAUCGGAUAUCGGCUGCAAACUUAAGAAGCAGCUGGAUGUAAGUGAUGUGCCCUGUAAUAUGUUCAAAGCUGCUUGUACUGUAACACUCCUGUGUCAAAGAAACUGCUAAUUUUUUUUGCUCCAAGUCUUUCGAUGAUUUGUUUAUCUGGGAAUUGCCCAGUCUAUUUAUACUGAGGCUUUGGUUUUGAGGAACUGUAAGGGCUGGGCUUUAUUUUGUCCUAUUUUUUUUCUCUAGGUGUAGUAUACAAGCUUUUCAUUUUGUGUUUGUGGUAAGAUAUUGCUUGAGAAUGUUUGUACUGGACUAGUUCUGGAGUUCCAACUGCCUGUGGAAAUAACACAUGCUGUAAUGCUGUUAUACUGUGAUUAUAAUAUACGCUUUAGAUGUUGUAAUUAUUCUAUUUUACAAUGUGUCUCCCUUAAGAUCAGUGAAGUAAUGUAAUUCAGAACUGCUAGGGUUUCUGAAGCCAUCUAAAGGCUCUAGAUGAGUAGACCAGCUCCUGGAAGUCAUUUUCAUGGGAGAUAUGUUAGAUAUUAAGUGAUGAGAAAGCUGCUGGCAGCUGCUAAUGUUUGGGGAAUGGGCUAUAUAAUAUAUGUGACAGGGUUUAAAGAGCCCAAGGAUAGCAUUUUCAUAAUGAUAGGGAAGGAAACUUCAUACCUCCAACUCCUCAGUAUUCCUAUGGGAAGUGUUUUUGGUUGUUAAAGUGUUUUGUCAUAGUUCUGACUGUGAUUCUUCCACCAGGAAGAGAGGUGGAGUGGUUGGAUAUGUUUGUAGCAUGCCUGGCUAUUAUGUAAAACUACUUUUUUUCCUUAUGCAUUCCUUGAAGAAAUUCUUAUGAAGUUUCUAUGUAAUAAGCGUUGUUAUUAAUCAUAAUGAAUUGUUUGUAAUGCUUUGAAAACUAAGUAAAAUCACCUCUGGGACAUCACUAGUAUUGCUUCUACACAUACAUGACGGUGCUAUGCUGAUGCAACCUAUCUGACUAAAGUGAAAUAACGCUUUCUCUGUACUGUUUAGAGUGCAGGCAUUAAUCAUGCUUAAUUUCUACACCUAAUCCUAAAGUUAGGAACAAGUAUGUAUUGCUUUGGCUGGUUAUCUUGAGCAACAGAUGAGUUUCUUGUAGAACCAAUAUUGCAAAAUGAGAAACACCAUCCUGGAUGUUUUGCUGCACUGUCACUGUGACUGAGGAAUCCGUUGAAGACAUAGAAGUGGAUUGCUGCUUGUGGUGUACUGGUAUGUAGCACUGAUCUGCAGCAGGAACUCAGUUACUAAAAUCUUGGUGAGAAUGCCAAUGGCUGCGCUAAUGGAAGCACAGAGAAGAGUGUCAAAAUGAUCAAAACACUUCCAGUUCUGUUUUAAUAACCUAAUAAAUUUUAGUAGCAGAUACUGUUUGGGGGGAGGGGAAAGGAACUCCAAGGGAUGUUUUUCCAGAGGUUAAUGUUAUUGAAAUUUGGGGAAAUAAUUUCCCUACUCCCAAUCUUCUGAGCAGAAGCUCUUGCACAACAGACAGUGGAUUGAGUUCCCCAAAGUUUAAUGCCAGAGUUAAAUGAAAGCCCAGAGACAAAAGUCUGUCACAGCUUCCAAAGCUGUACUUCUGAUUCAUCCUGUUUUCUAAUUAACUGUUCUGAGGACACUGAUCCUAAAGCAGAAUUUGAGCUUGAAAGUGCUAUAAUUUAAAAUUUCAGUUGAGAUAGUGGAUACAUUUCUAUUGCAUACGUAGUGUUCAAGACUAAUAGGCUUGUGAUUUUUUUUUUUUCCUACCCAUGAUGGUAAGUUUUUUUUUUUUUUUUAGCAGAAACUUUUAGCCUUUAUAUUUUACUCCAUUGCCACUGUUCUCUAUAGGGCAGUAGUAUAAAUUAUACAAAACAGGUUAUUUCUAUCUGUGGUAUUAGAUCUACAGAAUUUAUUAAUGCAAUGGUAUGCUGUGUCAGUGUCAAUCUGGUUAUUUUUCCCUACCUCUUAGUAAAUACCUGAGUGGUUGAAUCCAGAUACAGAGUUAAAUAGCUAAAAUCUCUUGUCUGGGAAUUGAUCACGCUGAAUGACCAGGCAAAAGAAAGUCCUGAGUUUGCGGAAUAAAAAAACAACAUGUUAAAAGAA
Molecule: long non-coding RNA, 2544 nt
Organism: Lagopus muta (rock ptarmigan)
Lineage: Eukaryota; Metazoa; Chordata; Aves; Galliformes; Phasianidae
Exons: 4
Source: RefSeq, a predicted model, not a curated record